CUGUGUAGGGGAAGCAGGUGCUGAGACGUGGGGCCUGCGAUUAAUGUAUGUCAAAACUGAAUGUUCAGGGCCCGACCAAUUGGUAGAACUAGCGGGUGAGAAAAGCGCAGCUGACCGAGACAGUGCCAUAGCCAACUGCAGCAUGAAAACAGAGAGGAAGAGGUUACAGAGCAGCCUGCAGUGAUUCGACAAAGAGAUCCAGCACAGCAGAGCAGACUCAGGGAGGAAGUGAAUUCAUUUGGAGUGAGGGCGGGCUCAGUGCUUGACCCGGACAUGCCCCUUCCUGAGUAUUGGACGUCAGAAUGAGUGAGCAGCAGAACAGAGGGAUUUGUGAGCCAAAUACAGAAGCUAGACACAAAAAAUAGAUGUAACGAAUCUGCAUGACCUAAUUGUCUCAGCGAAGCUUGGCCUGACCGUGCAGCCCGCAGCGUACUCACCAAUCCGUACGCAUGACUGCCCAAAGUCAAAAGAAGAGGGUGACAGUGAUAAUGUUCACAUUCACCCCAGUGAGUAAAUGACGCUCUCAUUACUGGGCAUUUACAGAAGUUCAAUGACCGAUGACCAUUACAAAGACAGCAAGCGUGCCAGCCCCUGUCCUCCUGUGACUCCGCAAGCUGCCAGGAUUCACAAGUCAAAUUCAUUUUACGGCAUUAAAAGAAUAGUAAUAAAUUGUUGGAAAAAAGGUUCUAAAAACAUGUAAGAAUUCAUGAACAUUUGCAGUUUGCCAUUUGACAGUGUAGAACACACUCUGUAGUUUUAAAGCACUUUUUUGAGCCUCCCCCAAAAA
Molecule: long non-coding RNA, 787 nt
Organism: Hyla sarda
Lineage: Eukaryota; Metazoa; Chordata; Amphibia; Anura; Hylidae
Exons: 4
Source: RefSeq, a predicted model, not a curated record